CUCAGCUUGCCCCACAACUACCAGCUGCUCCACUCCGUGACCAAAGCAAUGGACGUUGGGCCACACAGGGUUCCAUUCAGGUGGGCCUAGGCCACGGUCCAGAUCUCUGGGUCAUCAGGGAAGAUACCGAACUCCUCAGGAAAGACUGCCACCAGAACAUGUUCCUGUCAUGCUGGUACUAGCAUCUCCACACCACAUUCUAUCACCCCAGGCCCUGUGCUGGGGAUUGAACUCAGUGCCUGGUGCAUGCUAGGCAAGUGAUUUAUCACUGAAUUACAUCCUAAGCUCAUCUAAAACUUUCCAUAACAUGUACCUACCAUGAUUUUUCCUCUUAUAACUGCAUUUUAAAGUUAAUUGAGACAUAACUCACAUACCAUACCAAUGACCCAUUUAAAGUGUAUAAUUCAAUUGUGUUUUAUUCUAUUCAUAGAAUUGUGCAACUAUCACUCCAAUAAAUCUUAGAACAUCUUCAUCACCUCUAAAAGAAUUAUUGUUUACUUUAGAAAAUUUCCCCCAACCCCCUAGGCAACUAUUGAUCAGCUUCUGUCUUCAUAGAUUUGCCUAAACCAUAGAUUUGCCUAAUUUCAUGCAAUUAGAAUCAUACAACAUAUGAUUUUUUGUGACUGACUUCUUUGACUUAGCAUAAUAUCUUCAAGGUUCAUCCACAUUGUAGCAUAUAUCAAUAUUUCAUUCCUCUUUAUGGGUGAAUAGUAUUCCUUUGAAUGGAUAUACCACAUAUCAUUUAUAUAUUCAUCAAUUAUGGACAUUUGAAUUAUAUUUACUUCUUGGUUGUUAUAAAUAAGCAACACUUAUGUACAUGUUUUUGUGUAGACAUACGUUUUCAUCUGUCUUGGUCAUAAAUAAUACCUUCAAUCUCACCUGAAGUGGGGUUGCUCAGUCAUAUAAUAGAUCUAUGUUUAAUCUUUGGGGACACUGCCAGUGUGUGUUUUCCAAAGUGGUUACACCUUCUUUCACUCCCACCAGCAGUUUAUGAGGGUUCUGGUUUCUCCACAUUAUUCGUUAUUAUUUGACUUUUAAUUUCUAGCUAUCCUAGUGGAUACCUUGUUAUAGAAUUCAGUUACCCAAUUAAAGAAUACAAUCAAAUAGUUUUUGGAUUAUUACAUUAUUUUAUUGUGGUUUUGAUUUGCAUUUCCCUGGUGAAUAAUGAUGUUGAACCUCCUUUUUUGGUAUAUAUCAGCCACUUGUAUCUCUCCUUUGGAGAAAUCUCUCUUCACAUCUUGGCCUAUUUUCUCUUCCAGAUUUAUUGAAGUAUAAUUAAAAAAUAAAAAUUAUGUGUGCCUA
Marmota monax (woodchuck) is the source of this 1302-nucleotide long non-coding RNA. RefSeq lists it as uncharacterized. The record is from RefSeq and is a predicted model, not a curated record. Lineage: Eukaryota; Metazoa; Chordata; Mammalia; Rodentia; Sciuridae. The transcript has 3 exons.